Molecule: ribosomal RNA, 523 nt
Filed under: uncultured bacterium
Lineage: Bacteria
Description: bacterial SSU rRNA
Rfam family: Bacterial small subunit ribosomal RNA
Source: RNAcentral
CCUACGGGAGGCAGCAGUAAGGAAUAUUGGUCAAUGGAGGCAACUCUGAACCAGCCAUGCCGCGUGCAGGAAGACUGCCCUAUGGGUUGUAAACUGCUUUUAUCCGGGAAUAAACCUGCUUACGUGUAAGUAGCUGAAUGUACCGGAAGAAUAAGGAUCGGCUAACUCCGUGCCAGCAGCCGCGGUAAUACGGAGGAUCCAAGCGUUAUCCGGAUUUAUGGGUUUAAAGGGUGCGUAGGCGGCCUGUUAAGUCAGGGGUGAAAGACGGUAGCUCAACUAUCGCAGUGCCCUUGAUACUGAUGGGCUUGAAUGGACUAGAGGUAGGCGGAAUGAGACAAGUAGCGGUGAAAUGCAUAGAUAUGUCUCAGAACACCGAUUGCGAAGGCAGCUUACUAUGGUCUUAUUGACGCUGAGGCACGAAAGCGUGGGGAUCAAACAGGAUUAGAUACCCUGGUAGUCCACGACCUAACGAUAGACACUCGCUGUUGGUCGAUACACAGUCAGCGGCGAGACGAAGACGUAA